GGGUUGUGAGGUUAAGCGACUAAGCGUACACGGUGGAUGCCCUGGCAGUCAGAGGCGAUGAAGGGCGUGCUAAUCUGCGAUAAGCGCCGGUAAGGUGAUAUGAACCGUUAUAACCGGCGAUACCCGAAUGGGGAAACCCAGUGUGAUUCGUCACACUAUCAUUAACUGAAUCCAUAGGUUAAUGAGGCGAACCGGGGGAACUGAAACAUCUAAGUACCCCGAGGAAAAGAAAUCAACCGAGAUUCCCCCAGUAGCGGCGAGCGAACGGGGAGGAGCCCAGAGCCUGAAUCAGCAUGUGUGUUAGUGGAAGCGUCUGGAAAGGCGCGCGAUACAGGGUGACAGCCCCGUACACAAAAGCGCAUGUGCUGUGAGCUCGAUGAGUAGGGCGGGACACGUGGUAUCCUGUCUGAAUAUGGGGGGACCAUCCUCCAAGGCUAAAUACUCCUGACUGACCGAUAGUGAACCAGUACCGUGAGGGAAAGGCGAAAAGAACCCCGGCGAGGGGAGUGAAAAAGAACCUGAAANAACCCCGGCGAGGGGAGUGAAAAAGAACCUGAAACCGUGUACGUACAAGCAGUGGGAGCCCCACCACCAAAGCAUUUGCUGUACCGCGUUGACGGAGCGAAGCGACGUCAAACCGAUAAAACAGCAGUGUAAAGUGAGCCGCAGGGCGCUUUGCGCGACAGCGCAAAGGCAGGCGGUUUCGCGUAGCGAAAGCGAAUGCUUUGGGGUGGGNCGUGUACGUACAAGCAGUGGGAGCACAGGUUUACCUGUGUGACUGCGUACCUUUUGUAUAAUGGGUCAGCGACUUAUAUUCUGUAGCAAGGUUAACCGAAUAGGGGAGCCGGAGGGAAACCGAGUCUUAAUUGGGCGUUAAGUUGCAGGGUAUAGACCCGAAACCCGGUGAUCUAGCCAUGGGCAGGUUGAAGGUUGGGUAACACUAACUGGAGGACCGAACCGACUAAUGUUGAAAAAUUAGCGGAUGACCUGUGGCUGGGGGUGAAAGGCCAAUCAAACCGGGAGAUAGCUGGUUCUCCCCGAAAGCUAUUUAGGUAGCGCCUCGUGAAUUCAUCUCCGGGGGUAGAGCACUGUUUCGGCUAGGGGGCCAUCCCGGCUUACCAACCCGAUGCAAACUGCGAAUACCGGAGAAUGUUAUCACGGGAGACACACGGCGGGUGCUAACGUCCGUCGUGAAGAGGGAAACAACCCAGACCGCCAGCUAAGGUCCCAAAGUCAUGGUUAAGUGGGAAACGAUGUGGGAAGGCCCAGACAGCCAGGAUGUUGGCUUAGAAGCAGCCAUCAUUUAAAGAAAGCGUAAUAGCUCACUGGUCGAGUCGGCCUGCGCGGAAGAUGUAACGGGGCUAAACCAUGCACCGAAGCUGCGGCAGCGACACUGUGUNACGGGGCUAAACCAUGCACCGAAGCUGCGGCAGCGACGCUUAUGCGUUGUUGGGUAGGGGAGCGUUCUGUAAGCCUGCGAAGGUGGCCUGUGAGGGUUGCUGGAGGUAUCAGAAGUGCGAAUGCUGACAUAAGUAACGAUAAAGCGGGUGAAAAGCCCGCUCGCCGGAAGACCAAGGGUUCCUGUCCAACGUUAAUCGGGGCAGGGUGAGUCGACCCCUAAGGCGAGGCCGAAAGGCGUAGUCGAUGGGAAACGGGUUAAUAUUCCCGUACUUGGUGUUACUGCGAAGGGGGGACGGAGAAGGCUAUGUUGGCCGGGCGACGGUUGUCCCGGUUUAAGCGUGUAGGUGUGUGUUCCAGGUAAAUCCGGUUCACUUUAACACUGAGGCGUGACGACGAGGCACUACGGUGCUGAAGCAACAAAUGCCCUGCUUCCAGGAAAAGCCUCUAAGCAUCAGGUAACAUCAAAUCGUACCCCAAACCGACACAGGUGGUCAGGUAGAGAAUACCAAGGCGCUUGAGAGAACUCGGGUGAAGGAACUAGGCAAAAUGGUGCCGUAACUUCGGGAGAAGGCACGCUGACACGUAGGUGAAGUGAUUUACUCAUGGAGCUGAAGUCAGUCGAAGAUACCAGCUGGCUGCAACUGUUUAUUAAAAACACAGCACUGUGCAAACACGAAAGUGGACGUAUACGGUGUGACGCCUGCCCGGUGCCGGAAGGUUAAUUGAUGGGGUCAGCGCAAGCGAAGCUCCUGAUCGAAGCCCCGGUAAACGGCGGCCGUAACUAUAACGGUCCUAAGGUAGCGAAAUUCCUUGUCGGGUAAGUUCCGACCUGCACGAAUGGCGUAAUGAUGGCCAGGCUGUCUCCACCCGAGACUCAGUGAAAUUGAACUCGCUGUGAAGAUGCAGUGUACCCGCGGCAAGACGGAAAGACCCCGUGAACCUUUACUAUAGCUUGACACUGAACAUUGAGCCUUGAUGUGUAGGAUAGGUGGGAGGCUUUGAAGUGUGGACGCCAGUCUGCAUGGAGCCGACCUUGAAAUACCACCCUUUAAUGUUUGAUGUUCUAACGUGGACCCGUUACCCGGGUUGCGGACAGUGUCUGGUGGGUAGUUUGACUGGGGCGGUCUCCUCCUAAAGAGUAACGGAGGAGCACGAAGGUUGGCUAAUCCUGGUCGGACAUCAGGAGGUUAGUGCAAUGGCAUAAGCCAGCUUGACUGCGAGCGUGACGGCGCGAGCAGGUGCGAAAGCAGGUCAUAGUGAUCCGGUGGUUCUGAAUGGAAGGGCCAUCGCUCAACGGAUAAAAGGUACUCCGGGGAUAACAGGCUGAUACCGCCCAAGAGUUCAUAUCGACGGCGGUGUUUGGCACCUCGAUGUCGGCUCAUCACAUCCUGGGGCUGAAGUAGGUCCCAAGGGUAUGGCUGUUCGCCAUUUAAAGUGGUACGCGAGCUGGGUUUAGAACGUCGUGAGACAGUUCGGUCCCUAUCUGCCGUGGGCGCUGGAGAACUGAGGGGGGCUGCUCCUAGUACGAGAGGACCGGAGUGGACGCAUCACUGGUGUUCGGGUUGUCAUGCCAAUGGCACUGCCCGGUAGCUAAAUGCGGAAGAGAUAAGUGCUGAAAGCAUCUAAGCACGAAACUUGCCCCGAGAUGAGUUCUCCCUGAGACUUAGAGUCUCCUGAAGGAACGUUGAAGACGACGACGUUGAUAGGCCGGGUGUGUAAGCGCAGCGAUGCGUUGAGCUAACCGGUACUAAUGAACCGUGAGGCUUAACCUUACAACGCCGAAG
RNAcentral lists this ribosomal RNA (3185 nucleotides) under Salmonella enterica subsp. enterica serovar Enteritidis. RNAcentral's name for it is "23S ribosomal RNA". It matches the Rfam family "Bacterial large subunit ribosomal RNA". The record is from RNAcentral. Lineage: Bacteria; Pseudomonadati; Pseudomonadota; Gammaproteobacteria; Enterobacterales; Enterobacteriaceae.